This 253-nucleotide ribosomal RNA is filed under the name uncultured bacterium. RNAcentral describes it as "partial 16S ribosomal RNA". It matches the Rfam family "Bacterial small subunit ribosomal RNA", at positions 524 to 776 of the family's 1533-position model. The record is from RNAcentral.
UACGGGGGGGGCAAGCGUUGUUCGGAAUUACUGGGCGUAAAGGGCUCGUAGGUGGCCAACUAAGUCACACGUGAAAUCCCUCGGCUUAACCGGGGAACUGCGUGUGAUACUGGAUGGCUUGAGUUUGGGAGAGGGAUGCGGAAUUCCAGGUGUAGCGGUGAAAUGCGUAGAUAUCUGGAGGAACACCGGUGGCGAAGGCGGCAUCCUGGACCAAUACUGACGCUGAGGCGCGAAAGCCAGGGGAGCGAACGGG